RNAcentral lists this ribosomal RNA (517 nucleotides) under uncultured bacterium. RNAcentral's name for it is "bacterial SSU rRNA". It matches the Rfam family "Bacterial small subunit ribosomal RNA", at positions 28 to 526 of the family's 1533-position model. The record is from RNAcentral.
GAUGAACGCUGGCGGCGUGCUUAACACAUGCAAGUCGAACGGGACUAUUUUCAAACAAGGCUUCGGCCGCGGGAGGAUUUAGUCUAGUGGCGGACGGGUGAGUAACACGUGAGCAACCUGCCCUUAAGAGGGGGAUAACGUCUGGAAAUGGACGCUAAUACCGCAUAACAUACCGAAGUGGCAUCGUUUUGGUAUCAAAGGAGAAAUCCGCUUAAGGAUGGGCUCGCGCCCGAUUAGAUAGUUGGCGGGGUAACGGCCCACCAAGUCGACGAUCGGUAGCCGGACUGAGAGGUUGAUCGGCCACAUUGGGACUGAGACACGGCCCAGACUCCUACGGGAGGCAGCAGUGGGGAAUAUUGCACAAUGGGGGAAACCCUGAUGCAGCGACGCCGCGUGAAGGAAGAAGUAUCUCGGUAUGUAAACUUCUAUCAGCAGGGAAGAAAGCGUGAGCAAUCACGCCUGACGGUACCUGACUAAGAAGCCCCGGCUAAUUACGUGCCAGCAGCCGCCGUAAGAC